GACGUAACACGUAGGUAACCUGCCUUACAGUUUGGGAUACCCUGGCGAAAGCUAGGCUAAUACCGAAUAAUUGGAUUGGAGGCAUCUCCGAUCUCUAAAAGGGGCCCUUAAAGCCUCGCUGAAUGAUGGACCUGCGGCGCAUUAGCUAGUUGGUGAGAUAACGGCCCACCAAGGCGACGAUGCGUAACUGUGCUGAGAGGCAAAACAGUCACAUUGGAACUUAGACACGGUCCAAACUCCUACGGGAGGCAGCAGUAGGGAAUUUUCGGCAAUGGGGGAAACCCUGACCGAGCAAUGCCGCGUGAAUGAUGAAGAAUCUUCGGAUUGUAAAAUUCUGUUGUUAGGAAUGAAUUACACUACUAGGAAAUGAGUAGUGCUUGACAGUACCUGACUAGAAAGCCCCGGCUAACUAUGUGCCAGCCGCCGC
This 427-nucleotide ribosomal RNA is filed under the name uncultured bacterium. RNAcentral describes it as "bacterial SSU rRNA". It matches the Rfam family "Bacterial small subunit ribosomal RNA", at positions 108 to 518 of the family's 1533-position model. The record is from RNAcentral.